UUUUUUUUUUUAAAGAACACAUGAGAAACUGAAACCCAGAUGGGAAACUGGCUUGCCUUGUGCUCCAAAACUUGACCUACCGAGAACCUAUAUUUCACAGAUGAGGAAACAGACCCCCUCAGAGCCCAGGGUUCACACAGGUGUUAGUGUGGACCCAGGACUACAUCUCAUUCCCCUUGUCACCCAGCGCCAGCUGUCUCCUAGUGUGUCCUGCACUGCAUCUCCCACGGCUCCAAUCCCAGGUUUAUAUUUCAUGCCUGUGAGUCUUAGACUCCCUUGGCAGAUCCAGCAGUCACAAGCUCCAGUUCCUACUGGGACCCAUGUGAGCGAGUGGGCUGGGUGUAAGCUGAUGGAAACCACUACUGGGGCUUGUGGCAAAUCAGAAAACCUAAGAACUGUUUAAAAUCAAACUUUCUAAGUCUGCCUUGGAAGGGUAUAGGUUCAAUCGAGUGGCAGUUUCUAAUUAUUC
RNAcentral lists this long non-coding RNA (469 nucleotides) under Mus musculus (house mouse). RNAcentral describes it as "long non-coding RNA chr3:141491524-141491993". Lineage: Eukaryota; Metazoa; Chordata; Mammalia; Rodentia; Muridae. The record is from RNAcentral.